UUUUCAUCAAUUGGCAAAAAACUCUGAUAAGUAAACUUCAUUCAUAUGUGUUUGUACUUUUAGUAUUUCAGUCCACGUUAGAGUAAACUGUCACAUUUCUGUCUUCUUGAACAUAAGGCAAUGAGGAUUCCAGCAAGUCCUGAAAAAGUAUUAAAUACUGCCAAAUCCAAUAGCUUCUAACUGCACCAUCAAUAGACUUUAACACAAGUGUUUUUUGUCUUCCCGUUCAACAUUUUUCAGGCUGAAUGUCUGUAACCUGUCAGAGAGAAGCUGUGAAACACUGUCCUCAGUUCUCAGCUCCGAGUCCUGUAGUCUGAGAGAGUUGGACCUGAGUAACAACAACAUAAAGGAGUCAGGACUGCAGCUUCUUUCUGCUGCAGUGGAGAGUCCAUACUGUACACUGGAAAUUCUCAGGGUGGAGCCUGUUGGAGUCCGAUGGUUGAGACCAGGUCUGAGGAAGUAUUCCUGUCAAC
Molecule: long non-coding RNA, 473 nt
Organism: Oreochromis aureus
Lineage: Eukaryota; Metazoa; Chordata; Actinopteri; Cichliformes; Cichlidae
Exons: 3
Source: RefSeq, a predicted model, not a curated record